CCCCAGCGCCACGAGUGGUUAUCACGAUUAUUGGGCCUAAAGCGUUCGUAGCCGGUCUGGUGCACCUCUUGUGAAAUUGUUUGGCUUAACCAAACAGCGUGCAGGAGACACGGCCAGACUCGAGACCGGGAGGCGCAUGAAGUAUGUCGUGGGGACUGGUAAAAUGGGAUAAUCCACGAUAGACUACCGAUGGCGAAGGCAUCAUGCGAGAACGGAUCUGACGGUGAGGAACGAAAGCCAGGGGAGCGAACCGG
RNAcentral lists this ribosomal RNA (254 nucleotides) under uncultured bacterium. Its description in RNAcentral is "partial 16S ribosomal RNA". It matches the Rfam family "Archaeal small subunit ribosomal RNA", at positions 474 to 727 of the family's 1478-position model. The record is from RNAcentral.